UUUUUCCCCCAGGACUCCCAAAAUCCCCAAAUUUUCCUCCCAGCACCCCCAAAACCCCAAAUUUUCCCCCCAGGACCCCCUAAAAUCCCAAAUUUUUCCCCCCAGCACCCCCCAAAAUCCCCAAUUUUUUUUUCCAGGACCCCCAAAACCCCCAAUUUUCCCCCAAAUUUUCCCCCUUCAGGGCGCUCACCUGGCCUUGAUCGAUUCCCUCAUGGCCGCCUUCGUCGCCGAGGCCACUCGGAAUUUGGGGGCUCCCCCAGGAGCCCCCCCAGGACCCCAAAAUUGGGAACCCAAAAUUUUGGGUUGGUUGGACACCGUGAAUCGGAAGCUGCAGGAAAGCACGGAAAAAGAGGGGGGGGCGACACCCCCAAAUUCGGGGGUCCCCGAGACCUCCGCAGCCCCCCCAGCUUGCGCCCACAAGUGUCCCACCCGCUGGUACUGGAAGUUGGUGCCCGUAAGUGGGGGCUUUUCUCUGUCCCAAAAUCCGCUUUUUUCACCCCAAAAAUUCACCCCUGCCUGCUCAAUCCCAUCCCAAAUAUUUUGGGGGGGUGGGAGUGGAAAAAUCCCCCCCAAAAAAUUUGUUUGGAAUGGGUUUUUCCGUCUUAAAAUCGGGAGUUUGGAGGGAUGAUGGGGGAAAAAAAAUGGGGAGAAACGGAGGAAAAAUGGGAAAAUAAAUUGGGGAAAAAAUGGGAGAAAUUGGGAAAA
This 705-nucleotide long non-coding RNA is filed under the name Cyanistes caeruleus (blue tit). RNAcentral's name for it is "lncRNA (ENSCCEG00000000002.1)". Lineage: Eukaryota; Metazoa; Chordata; Aves; Passeriformes; Paridae. The record is from RNAcentral.